GACGUAGGGGGCGAGCGUUGUCCGGAUUUAUUGGGCGUAAAGAGCGCGUAGGCGGCUCGGUAAGCCGGAUGUGAAACCUCCAAGCUCAACUUGGAGCGGCCAUUCGGAACUGCUGUGGCUAGAGUCUGGUAGGGGAACACGGAAUUCCUGGUGUAGCGGUGAAAUGCUUAGAUAUCAGGAGGAACACCAGUGGCGAAGGCGGUGUUCUGGGCCAGUACUGACGCUGAGGCGCGAAAGCGUGGGGAGCGAACAGG
RNAcentral lists this ribosomal RNA (254 nucleotides) under uncultured bacterium. Its description in RNAcentral is "partial 16S ribosomal RNA". It matches the Rfam family "Bacterial small subunit ribosomal RNA", at positions 524 to 776 of the family's 1533-position model. The record is from RNAcentral.